GUCCACAUUAUGUUGAAACACAGGUUCCCGUAUGAUCACCAAGUUAAGAAACGUUGAGCCUGGUCAAUACAUAGAUGGGUUACCGCUUGGGAAUGCCAAGUGCUGUAA
Molecule: non-coding RNA, 108 nt
Organism: Acanthosepion pharaonis
Lineage: Eukaryota; Metazoa; Mollusca; Cephalopoda; Sepiida; Sepiidae
Source: the annotation of a GenBank genome assembly